This 383-nucleotide ribosomal RNA is filed under the name uncultured soil bacterium. RNAcentral's name for it is "bacterial SSU rRNA". It matches the Rfam family "Bacterial small subunit ribosomal RNA", at positions 26 to 411 of the family's 1533-position model. The record is from RNAcentral.
AGGACGGACGCUGGCGGCGUGCUUAACACAUGCAAGUCGAGCGGUAAGGCCUUUCGGGGUACACGAGCGGCGAACGGGUGAGUAACACGUGGGUGAUCUGCCCUGCACUUCGGGAUAAGCCUGGGAAACUGGGUCUAAUACCGGAUAUGACCUCCUAUCGCAUGGUGGGUGGUGGAAAGAUUUAUCGGUGCAGGAUGGGCCCGCGGCCUAUCAGCUUGUUGGUGGGGUAAUGGCCUACCAAGGCGACGACGGGUAGCCGACCUGAGAGGGUGACCGGCCACACUGGGACUGAGACACGGCCCAGACUCCUACGGGAGGCAGCAGUGGGGAAUAUUGCACAAUGGGCGAAAAGCCUGAAUGCAGCGACGCCGCGUGAGGGAUGA